CCUAACACAUGCAAGUCGAACGGUAACAGGAAGAAGCUUGCUUCUUUGCUGACGAGUGGCGGACGGGUGAGUAAUGUCUGGGAAACUGCCUGAUGGAGGGGGAUAACUACUGGAAACGGUAGCUAAUACCGCAUAACGUCGCAAGACCAAAGAGGGGGACCUUCGGGCCUCUUGCCAUCGGAUGUGCCCAGAUGGGAUUAGCUAGUAGGUGGGGUAACGGCUCACCUAGGCGACGAUCCCUAGCUGGUCUGAGAGGAUGACCAGCCACACUGGAACUGAGACACGGUCCAGACUCCUACGGGAGGCAGCAGUGGGGAAUAUUGCACAAUGGGCGCAAGCCUGAUGCAGCCAUGCCGCGUGUAUGAAGAAGGUCUUCGGGUUGUAAAGUACUUUCAGCGGGGAGGAAGGGAGUAAAGUUAAUACCUUUGCUCAUUGACGUUACCCGCAGAAGAAGCACCGGCUAACUCCGUGCCAGCA
RNAcentral lists this ribosomal RNA (477 nucleotides) under uncultured bacterium. RNAcentral's name for it is "bacterial SSU rRNA". It matches the Rfam family "Bacterial small subunit ribosomal RNA", at positions 47 to 513 of the family's 1533-position model. The record is from RNAcentral.